This 552-nucleotide small RNA is filed under the name Pongo abelii (Sumatran orangutan). RNAcentral's name for it is "processed transcript". The record is from RNAcentral. Lineage: Eukaryota; Metazoa; Chordata; Mammalia; Primates; Hominidae.
GACUGCCAACAGGGGCACUGGCCUUCCUCCAGUUCCCUGCCUCUGAUAUUGACUAAGCCAUGGGACUGUUGGUACAUCUCCUCUCUGUAUUUGGAGUAUCGUCUUCAUAAUGCUAAUUUCCAUGCAGCUCCUUCCAUAGCCAUUUGGUCUCAUGAAACUUGGCAAAAAGCAUUUGAGGUGGAACGCCAAGAGCUACUGGCCAGUAAUAAGAAGAAAUGGGAGCAAGCCCUUCAGGCUCAUAAUGCCAAAGAGCUGGAGUAUCUUAUCAACCGCAUGAAGAAAGUAGAGGACUAUGAGAAGCAGCUGAACAAGCAGAGGAUCUGGGAUUGCGAAGAAUACAACAUGAUCAAGAUCAAGCUGGAGCAGGAUGUGCAGAUUCUUGAGCAGCAGCUUCAGCAGAGGAAAGCAAUUUAUCAGCUAAACCAAGAGAAAUUAGAGUACAACUUGCAGGUGCUGAAGAAGAGAGAUGAAGAAAGCACAGUAAUUAAAUCCCAGCAGAAGAGGAAGAUCAAUCGCCUGCAUGAUAUACUUAACAAUCUGAGAUCAAAAUAU